GACAGAGGUCCCGAGCGUUAGGCGGAAUCACUGGGCUUAAAGCGUGUGUAGGCGGAUCGUUAAGUGCUUUGUGAAAUCCCACGGCUUAACCGUGGAACUGCUUGGCAUACUGGCGAUCUUGAGCCACCUAGGGGCAACCGGAACAAACGGUGGAGCGGUGAAAUGCGUAGAUAUCGUUUGGAACGCCAAUGGUGAAAACAGGUUGCUGGGGGUGUGCUGACGCUGAGACACGAAAGCCAGGGGAGCGAACGGG
Molecule: ribosomal RNA, 253 nt
Filed under: uncultured bacterium
Lineage: Bacteria
Description: partial 16S ribosomal RNA
Rfam family: Bacterial small subunit ribosomal RNA
Source: RNAcentral